AUUAGUUAUGAAGAAUGUUUUCUUAUAUAUUUAUUUUGUGGGAACUAAGUACUUGUUAACUUUAUAUAAUUUAGAUGUCAAGAAGAGGUGACAAAGGUAAGGGAAAAGUUGAUCUUACAAAACCAAAAAAGAAAAGACAACUUUCGCCUUAUAGAUGACCGACAAGUAUUCAUAUAUUUGAGGGUUGGUUUGCUGACCCGACAACACGACCCUCAUAUUCUAGGUUGUCCCAGCAUUCGGUUCCCACUCCUACCAUGUGGGGCCACUUGAUGGGUCUAUACCGACCUAAUCUGCUCCUAUUACCAUGCCACGACCAUCACAGUACUAUCAGAUAGCCGCUGGCAUAUCCGAACAUGUGCCAUCAUCGAUACCCUCCUGUAGCAGUCAGCAGCUUCGCACAGUGAUUCUGCUGGAUCUAUUGGGUUGUCGGAUCUUCAGCUUGGAGGCACUCAAUCUGGUGCUUCAGAUCUGCCCACGUCAGUGCAUCCACCAUCAUUUGAUCCGCAGCCAGGAGACAGAGAUAAUUAUGGGAGGUGUUGUCUCAUUCCAUUUGCGACAGGGUUUAGGCCGGAUGCUAAAGUUGGAUAAGUUAUGAGAAAAUGCAUUUGUCGGAACUUCAACGGCUACUGGACCAAUUGGCAAAAGGUUCCAGAACUUGACAGGGAGAGAAUGUUUAAAGAAUUUAAUAAAUUUUACUGGUGGGAUGAUACAAAUACAUGUCUUAUAAAGAGGAACUUUUUCAGAAGAUGUAGAUUCAGGUUUAACGGUCUGUUGGAUCAUGCCCGAACCAAGUUGGUAAAACCUGAUUGGAUUAGUGAACCCUUAUAGCAACAAUAUAUUUGCCUUUGGAAUAACAAAGAAUACCAAUUACUGAGGGAAAAAGAAAAGAAAGCCCAGACAUCAUCCAAGGGUGGCUCCCUACAUAUUGCGGGUGCCAAAAGUGCCCUUGUUGUGCAGGAAAAAAAUGGAAAAAGAAAAGGGUAGGGGCAUACCAUACGAUGAGCUAUUCGAGGAGACUCAUCUG
Molecule: long non-coding RNA, 1024 nt
Organism: Capsicum annuum
Lineage: Eukaryota; Viridiplantae; Streptophyta; Magnoliopsida; Solanales; Solanaceae
Exons: 4
Source: RefSeq, a predicted model, not a curated record